GGACCGCCCCCAAGGGGACCGCGCGCGCUCUGGGAAGCAACAGGCCUAGCUGUUCUCUUUCCAGCACGUACAUUUCCAACCCAGCCCUCUCCACUCCCUUCGAAGUUUCUUGGAAGAGAACUUUGGGUCAGAAGAGUAGAAGGAAUUGCCAAAAUUCAACCCUGCCAAAAUGGCCUUCCUAUUGGAAGAAUUUGAGUUCUCUGCAAGCUUUGCAGAAUCCCCAAGCCUGUCAUUUACAAACCACUGGCUGCAGUCAGUACGUGUGGGAAGCCUAUACCAGCAUCUGUGUGGAUCACAGAAGGCUUUGCAGAUUCAGCAGGGUUUGCAGUUACAGACGCCUGAGCCGAGUUGGAGUCGUGUAUCAGCCUGCACCAGGACAAUGAUUCCUAUGGACUGAACGCUUCACACAGGUGGUCUGAAAUCUUGCUUUUUGUUGCCUGUACAAGCAACUCACAAGGUCACAGAUCCCAAGCCUGGGAGAGGAACCAACAGUUCUCCUCCUUACCCUCCAAAAAAAAAAAAAAAAAAAAGAAGAAGAAGAGAGAAAGAAAGAAAGAAAGAAAGAAAGAAGAAAGAAAGAAAGAAAGAAAGAAAGAAAGAAAGUAGCUCAUUUGGGCGUGGUGGCACAUGCCUUUAGUCCCAGCACUCCCGAGGCAGAGGCCAGGCCAGCCUGGUCUAUAAAACCCUGUUUUAGGGGUUUGGGGAUUUAGCUCAGUGGUAGAGCACUUGCCUAGCAAUCGCAAGGCCCUUCCUCAGCUCUAGGGGAAAAAAAAAAAAAAAAGAAAAGACAAAACCCUGUUUUGAAAAACAAACAAAAAGGGCUGGAGAGAUGUCUCAGAGGUUCAGAGCACUGGCUGCUCUUCCAGAGGUCCUGAGCUCAGUCAGCGUGCGAUCCGGUGCCCCCUUCUGGUGUGCGGGCGUGCACAAUGUUGUAAUUCCUAAUGCAGGGAUUAAAGCAGGCAUGAGCUUCCGUUUGUUUACUUAUAUUAUGUACACAGUGUUGUGUAGGGAGGCAGAGGCAGGCAGGCAUCUGAGUUCGAAGCCAUCUCUGAUCUAUAGAGAGAAUUCCAGCACAGCCAGGGCUACCUGUCUCAAAAAACAAAACCGAAACAAAGAGGGAAAGGAUGAGUUCCAGGCCAGAGUCUAAAUGUAACUUUCGUCCCCCUGUGCUCUAUCAUCUGUUCUAGAAAACACUCCAAAGAAGCCAGGCAUUGUUCUGCAGAUCAGGUAUUAUUUAGGUCAUGCCCAUGCCCCAGCUUUCAGCGUGAGUGAGCCCUUCUAGACCUCAAUUUACUGCAACCAGCAGCUUUUGAAAGAGCUGCUUUGUGGUGCCUUCUAGUAAAAGUAGCAUCACAAAACAAAACAAACAAAAACCCCCACAGAAAAACAAGAAGAAAAACCCACCCGUAUAAAAAUGGGGUUUCAUGGCCACAGCCUGAGACUGGAGCAGCGGUACCCCAGGCACCCUUUAUCAGAUUAGCAUCUUCAAAAUGCCCAUAAGAAAUGCAUUUGUCCAUCCUGCGCCUGGUGGCUCAUCAGCUGGGAAUGGAUGACCUCAGGCCACCAGGCAAAGGGGGUUUGUUGUGAAAUCAGUAAACAAAGCAAACUCUGGGUUAAAGGUGCCUCAAAACCACAACCUGCAACAAAGUGUUUUGUUGGUGUGUGCACAGCACGCUUGCGCUGCUCACAAUCAGUUCUACCCAUCAUGGAAAAUUUUCCAGGGCAAAAACAGAUGCUGGGGAAUCAUGGCACCAAGAAGAAUGUUUCUUUUGCUCGUGACCGUGAAUCCGACACAACUCACUGUUCCCUUCUCGUCCUUGAAUUUUCUGCUUCCUCUGCCUGGACUACCCUGCCCCUGUCCUCUACACAGUCAAGAGUCAUCUUCUUUUACACUUUUUUAUUUUAUUAUUUUAUGUGUCUGGGUGCUGGCUGUGCAUGUGUCAGUGUGCCGCGUGUUUGAACCGCCCAGAUCUAAAGUAACAGAUGCUGUGAGUGCUAAUGUGGGUGCUGGGAAUUGAACCCAAAUUCUCCGGAAGAGCAGCCAGUCCAGGUUAGCCUUCAACAUGCUAUGUAGUGGAGGCUAGCCUUGAACUCAUGGUCCUACUGCCUCCACCUUCCAAAUGCCAAGGUUCCAUGAUAAAUAAUGAGGUCCAGGCCAGGCUGGGUGACUUGAAACCUUUUCGAAAAGCAUAGUAGUGACAAGCGGGACAGCUUAGUGGGUAAAGCACCUGUGUUCAGACCCCAAAUCUACGUAUAGGUGGAAGGAGAGAGCCAACUUGACAGUACGGUCCUCUGACUACUGCACAUGCUCUGUGGGCACAUUCACUCACACACACAAUCAUAAUUAAAAAAUUUGUACUUUAGAACAUUUUUUAUUUUAUGGGUGUGCGUGUUGCCUGUAGGUAUAUUUUUGUAGCACUUGAGUGCCUGGUGCCCUUGAAAGCCAGAAGAGAGCAACAGAACUGUAGCUCCUAGAACUGGAGCUACAGAGAGGUGUGCGCUCUUAACUGCUGAAUCAUCGCUCUGGCCCUGACAAUAAAUUUUUCAAAAAUAUCCUUUUGCACGUCGCUUUCUUCCCUUGUGUUUCUACUUUCAGCCUAUUACAUUUUCCAGUCCUUGGAAUCUGGGCUUGCUGUUCCUCGCAAGGCAGAAAGCAUAUUACAGGAUCUAGAGGAGACAUGGAAAUAGGA
Molecule: long non-coding RNA, 2690 nt
Organism: Meriones unguiculatus (Mongolian gerbil)
Lineage: Eukaryota; Metazoa; Chordata; Mammalia; Rodentia; Muridae
Exons: 3
Source: RefSeq, a predicted model, not a curated record